This 439-nucleotide ribosomal RNA is filed under the name uncultured bacterium. RNAcentral's name for it is "partial 16S ribosomal RNA". It matches the Rfam family "Bacterial small subunit ribosomal RNA", at positions 338 to 795 of the family's 1533-position model. The record is from RNAcentral.
CCUACGGGAGGCAGCAGUGGGGAAUAUUGCACAAUGGGGGAAACCCUGAUGCAGCGACGCCGCGUGAGUGAAGAAGUAAUUCGUUAUGUAAAGCUCUAUCAGCAGGGAAGAAAAUGAUGGUACCUGAGUAAGAAGCCCCGGCUAACUACGUGCCAGCAGCCGCGGUAAUACGUAGGGGGCAAGCGUUAUCCGGAUUUACUGGGUGUAAAGGGGGCGUAGGCGGACUGGAAAGUCAGCGGUAAAAUCGAGGGGCUCAACCUCUUUCCGCCGUUGAAACUGUCGGUCUUGAGUGGGCGAGAGGCAGGCGGAAUGCGUGGUGUAGCGGUGAAAUGCAUAGAUAUCACGCAGAACUCCGAUUGCGAAGGCAGCAUACCGGGGCCCGACUGACGCUGAGGCACGAAAGCGUGGGUAUCGAACAGGAUUAGAUACCCUGGUAGUC